AAACAAGAUACAUUUGCGGUUAUUUUCGUCAAAUUCCAGAGCAAUAUGACAAGACAAACUCAUUUGAUGAGGUCAUCACCUUAUUCAAAGCCGGUUUCAAUUGAGAAAUCGAGCAACAUGAGAAGAGAAACUAGGUUGAUAAAUUUAUCUCCUCAUUCAACCCCGAUUUUAGUUGACAAAUCAAUUGAUGAACGAAAUAUGGGAAGACAAAAUCAUUCCGAUAAUGUUAAAGUGUUAGAAUCUCGAAAGAAUGUUGUUGGACAAUCUGAGAAAAAGAAGAGCAAAGUGGUUAGAGUGGAUGAUGUUGAAGGUAAGAGAAAAUAUGUCAUGGAGGACGAAGUGAAUUUGGGUGUCAAACCAAAACAAAGUAAGGUUCAGAAGGCAGAAAAAGUUAAAAUUCCUGACAAAGUUUGUAAGGUAUAUACAAUUUCAGUUAUAUUUUUUUUUAUUGUUGAAUCUUCUUUUAUAAUUGAAUUUAGUUUGUAUUUAUUUGUUGUUAAUUCAUGUCAUUUAUUUGUAGCCUUGGAAGCUUUAUCUUCCAGUUGGUUAGCCUUUUCUUGUUACUCAUUGGACAUCAUAUACUAAUAUGGGCAUCGUAUCAGUUUUACAGUCAAAGUUGAUUGAUGUCCAUCUUCAGAUGUUUAGGGAAAAUUGUUUUGACUAUUUUCUUGAUUUACCUCGAGUUGCUAUCAAGGCGCAACUGAUUCGUUCUUUAAUGUUUAGGGAAUUGGUUCAAGAUAAGUGUGAUCAAUUUUAUGUGAAAUUAAAUAACGAAUGUAUUUUACGUUUUGGUCUUCGGGAAUUUGGUGAAUACCAAUAGGUAAGUGGUUUAAACUGUUGUAGCAAUGAACAUGUUGAGGGUAACUUCAGUGGAACCAAUAGGUUGGUGAAUACUUAUUUUUCUGGUUUUGAAGCGGUGUCAAAGAAGUCGCUUAUUGAUUAUUUUGAGAAGAAAAAAUGACAGUCUGAUGAAGACGCAGUUAAGAUUGCAAUCAUUUAUAUCAUAAACAUAUUUCUAAUACCCACUCAGGCUCAGAAGACAUUUAUAAGUAAGCGUGAUUUACAUCUUGUCGAGAGUGGUGAGUAUGUGUUCUUUCCCUUGGCUAAGAUUGCGUUUCGAGCUUUAAUGAAGUCGGUAAGUGACAGGUUUAGGGGAAAGUUUGAGUUUUAUAUUAUUGGUGGAUUUUCUCUUGCACUACAAGUGUGGUCUAUGAAUAUUGCACUGUAGUUGAUAAAAAGUUUGAUGUUCGCGUCGGAGAUCAUACACCAUGCAUAUUGAAUUGGGAAAUAAUAGGCAGGCCAAUACGUGAGGACUUCUCUACUGGUUUCUUCAACAUCACAGGGAAUAAGGUACUGACUUUUAUGUAUUUGUGCGUUAUACAUAUAUGAUACACUGUAAUUCAUUGUGAUACAUCAAAUAUAUAAUUUUUAUAUAUCUUUGAUACAUCUAGGACUAAACCACUCUUUGUUAUAUUUGUAGGUAAAAAAUAUUUCCUACAACUUAAGAGCUACAGAGAUUUACUUUGCCUAUUGAAGUUAACGAUGAGUAUCAUAAAUAUUUGACAUCACGUAACAGGGGAAAGCUUCCUAUUGAUGAUAGCGAUGAUUUUGUCAGACCACCUCCGAAACUGAUUAAGGAGCCGGUCCCACCAAAAAAGAUGCCGGGUGUCCAACCUAUUGAUUGUGAUCGUGAGUUGCAGAAGUUAAAAGCUGAUGUUAACCAACUCCAUAAGCCGUUAAAGUCCUUCAUGGAAUAUGUUUGUGAUAAAUUCAAGGAAGUCUUUGAGUUGAUAAAUUCCAAGCUUAGUGCAAGUGAAGAUAAAUAUGGUGCACAUCCAGACGAAGGCACCUGUGGUGGUCAAGACAAUAAUGAUUUUGUGAACAAUAUGGAGUUUGAUGGCAAUGAAGAUGUUGACAUGGAUGGUUGUAAGAUGUGUUUAGUUGUGCAUUCUGCCUUUUUCCUUUUUCUUUUCUUUGUUGUUUUUUCGAUUUUUUUUUAAAAAAAAAUAGGUCGGUGGAAGUGAAGGCAAAGAUGUUCCACAUUCUCAAGGAGAUACCAGUGCGCAUCAUCGUAACAACAUUAUGCUCGAUGAAGCAAAUCAAUUUAGCGGAUGUUGGAGCUAUUGGUGAGACUGCAGAUGAGGCGACAUGGAAGAUGGAGGCAGAAUCUGAGAAAGAAAGGUUCCCAAAUCUUAUAUCCGCACUAUUUAUGUGACUGCAAGUGUUGAUGAGGCGGCAGGGGAGAUGAAGGAACAAUCUGAGAAAGAGGUUCCUCAAUCUCAUAUUGUUCUUUACCAGCCUGAAUUACUUCAUGAAGUUUCUCCGCAAAUGGAAAAAAGAAAGAGAUGUCCUGCAAAGGCCGUGCAGUUUCUAUUUAUUACUGUAUUUGAUUCAGGAUCUAGUAGUGGUGUUGUUAUAACGAAAGAAAAAAAAUAAAUUUAUGCUGUUAAGCAUCCUUUUCAAAACAAAAUCGGAAUUGGCAUUAACAGCACUUUGUUGAAUGUAUUUGUUAUGUGGGUCAAAGAA
Non-coding RNA from Nicotiana tabacum (common tobacco), 2526 nucleotides. NCBI's taxonomy places the organism in Eukaryota, Viridiplantae, Streptophyta, Magnoliopsida, Solanales, Solanaceae. The record is from RefSeq and is a predicted model, not a curated record.